This is a long non-coding RNA of Zingiber officinale, 634 nucleotides long. RefSeq lists it as uncharacterized. The transcript is spliced from 3 exons. The record is from RefSeq and is a predicted model, not a curated record. NCBI's taxonomy places the organism in Eukaryota, Viridiplantae, Streptophyta, Magnoliopsida, Zingiberales, Zingiberaceae.
AUUUUUCCUUCGCCGUUCCUUCUCUUAUCCCCGCGCGCCUCCUCUUUCCUUGCCCUAACCGCUGCAGCGAUUUUCUUCUCCCCUCUUCUCUUCUUCUUUUCUCCCCCCUCGCGUCCGAUCACAGCCGACGCCGCCCGGAGAAGUGCCGACGGUCGCCUCCUCUGUGCCGAGCCCUAGCGCUGAUCGCACCCGCAGAGUUCCUUUUUCCCUCUGCCGUCGGCGGCGUGAGGCUUCUCUGUCUCUUUGGUUUCAGGCGCCGACAGCCGGCCACCGCGAGCCCUAUCUCCGAUCACCGAGCAGAGCAGGUCCCUUUCUUCUACCUUAGCCCUGUGCCCUAGCCGUCCGACAUCUCCUGGUACAGCCGAGUCUUCACCGGAUCUGCCCUAGAUCUGCCGAAGACUUCCCGGGUUGUGCCUAGCUCUACCCAUUGUAGCCACCAUCAACCACUUCAUCUUUGGGUAAGAUUUGAUUUGAGUCUAUGGCUUGGAGGUCUCGGCUGAAGAAUUAGGAAUCUGUUGAGACAUUGUUGGAGAGAGAGCUAACCGUUGUGAUCUUUCUUUUGUUUGAUCCAGAGGACCUUGACGCGAGACGAGUUUCUCGACGUCCGGAUUUGGACUGAUUGGACCUUUCUUAU